Molecule: ribosomal RNA, 425 nt
Filed under: uncultured Comamonas sp.
Lineage: Bacteria; Pseudomonadati; Pseudomonadota; Betaproteobacteria; Burkholderiales; Comamonadaceae
Description: bacterial SSU rRNA
Rfam family: Bacterial small subunit ribosomal RNA
Source: RNAcentral
GGGGAAUUUUGGACAAUGGGCGCAAGCCUGAUCCAGCAAUGCCGCGUGCAGGAUGAAGGCCUUCGGGUUGUAAACUGCUAUUGUACGGAACGAAAAGCCUCACUCUAAUACAGGGGGGUGAUGACGGUACCGUCAAAAUAAGCACGGGCUAACUACGUGGCAGCAGCCGCGGUAAUACGUAGGUGGCAACGUUAAUCGGAAUUAGUGGGCGUAAAGCGUGCGCAGGCGGUUUUGUAAGACAGUGGUGAAAUCCCCGGGCUCAACCUGGGAACUGCCAUUGUGACUGCAAGGCUGGAGCGCGGCAGAGGGGGAUGGAAUUCCGCGUGUAGCAGUGAAAUGCGUAGAUAUGCGGAGGAACACCGAUGGCGAAGGCAAUCCCCUGGGCCUGCACUGACGCUCAUGCACGAAAGCGUGGGGAGCAAACA